AAAUAAUUAAUUUUAUUUUAAAAUUUUAAUAAUUAAUUUUUAUUUUAAAUUAAAUAAAUUUAUAAUAAAUAAUAUUUAUAAUUAUUAAUUAAAAUUGUGCCAGCAAUUGCGGUUAUACAAUUAAUAAAAAAUAAAUAUUUUUAAAUUUAAUUUAAAAAUAUUUAAAAAUUAUAAAUUUAAAAAAUUAAAUUUAAUUAGUAAAAUAAUAAAAUUUUUAAUAAAAAUUAAUUUAUAUUAGAAAUAUAAUUUUAAAAUUAAAAAAUUUUUUUAAAAACUAGGAUUAGAUACCCUAUUAUAUAAAUUAAUAAUAAUUUAAAUUUAAUUAGUAAAAUUAUUGAAAAUUAAAGAAUUUGACGGUAUUUAAAUCAUUUUAGAGGAAUUUGUAUAGUAAUUGAUAAUCCACAAUUUAUUAAACUUAUUAUUUAAAAUUUUGUAUAUCGUUGUUAUAAAAAUAUUUUUUAUAAAUUUAUUAAUAUUUAAAAUUUUAAAUUAAAAUUUAUAUCAAAUCAUGAUACAAUUAAUAUAAAUAAGAAAAAUAUGAAUUACAAUAAUACUAAAAAUUAUAAUUUUUUUUAUGAAAAAAUUAAAUUUAAAUUGGAUUUAAUUGUAAUUUAAAAUAUUUAUUUUAAAUGAUUAAAGUUUUUAAAUAUGUACAUAUUGCCCGUCACUCUUAUUAAAUUAUUAAAAUUAAUUAAGAUAAGUCGUAACAAAGUAGAAAUAUUGGAAAAUGUUUCUA
RNAcentral lists this ribosomal RNA (736 nucleotides) under Cheumatopsyche infascia. RNAcentral's name for it is "12S ribosomal RNA". Lineage: Eukaryota; Metazoa; Arthropoda; Insecta; Trichoptera; Hydropsychidae. The record is from RNAcentral.